Molecule: transfer RNA, 55 nt
Filed under: Heteroscyphus inflatus
Lineage: Eukaryota; Viridiplantae; Streptophyta; Jungermanniopsida; Jungermanniales; Lophocoleaceae
Description: partial tRNA-Phe
Rfam family: tRNA
About the family: Transfer RNA (tRNA) molecules are approximately 80 nucleotides in length.
Source: RNAcentral
GCCGGAAUAGCUCAGUUGGUAGAGCAGAGGACUGAAAAUCCUCGUGUCACCAGGU